Molecule: ribosomal RNA, 916 nt
Filed under: uncultured bacterium
Lineage: Bacteria
Description: bacterial SSU rRNA
Rfam family: Bacterial small subunit ribosomal RNA
Source: RNAcentral
UUGUUGGUAAGGUAAAAGCUUACCAAGGCUUCGAUCAGUAGCUGGUCUGAGAGGACGACCAGCCACACUGGGACUGAGACACGGCCCAAACUCCUACGGGAGGCAGCAGUGGGGAAUUUUGGACAAUGGGGGCAACCCUGAUCCAGCCAUGCCGCGUGAGUGAAGAAGGCCUUCGGGUUGUAAAGCUCUUUCAGCCGGAACGAAACGGUUACGGAUAACACCCGUGACUACUGACGGUACCGGAAGAAGAAGCACCGGCUAACUACGUGCCAGCAGCCGCGGUAAUACGUAGGGUGCGAGCGUUAAUCGGAAUUACUGGGCGUAAAGCGUGCGCAGGUGGUUUUGUAAGUCAGAUGUGAAAGCCCCGGGCUCAACCUGGGAACUGCGUUUGAAACUACAAGACUAGAGUGUGGCAGAGGGGGGUGGAAUUCCGCGUGUAGCAGUGAAUUGCGUAGAGAUGUGGAGGAACACCGAUGGCGAAGGCAGCCCCCUGGGUCAACACUGACGCUCAGGCACGAAAGCAUGGGGAGCAAACAGGAUUAGAUACCCUGGUAGUCCAUGCCCUAAACGAUGUCAACUAGUUGUCGGGCCUUUACGGGCUUGGUAACGUAGCUAACGCGUGAAGUUGACCGCCUGGGGAGUACGAUCGCAAGAUUAAAACUCAAAUGAAUUGACGGGGACCCGCACAAGCGGUGGAUUAUGUGGAUUAAUUCGAUGCAACGCGAAAAACCUUACCUACCCUUGACAUGUAUCGAAGCCCGCAGAAAAGCGGGGGUGCCCGAAAGGGAACGAUAACACAGGUGCUGCAUGGCUGUCGUCAGCUCGUGUCGUGAGAUGUUGGGUUAAGUCCCGCAACGAGCGCAACCCUUGUCAUUAAUUGCCAUCAUUUAGUUGGGCACUUUAAUGAGACUGCCGG